UACAGAGGGGGCAAGCGUUGUUCGGAAUUACUGGGCGUAAAGGGCGCGUAGGCGGCCUUCUAAGUCGAACGUGAAAUCCCCGGGCUCAACCCGGGAACUGCGUUCGAGACUGAAAGGCUUGAAUCCGGGAGAGGGAUGUGGAAUUCCAGGUGUAGCGGUGAAAUGCGUAGAUAUCUGGAGGAACACCGGUGGCGAAGGCGACAUCCUGGACCGGUAUUGACGCUGAGGCGCGAAAGCCAGGGGAGCAAACGGG
This 253-nucleotide ribosomal RNA is filed under the name uncultured bacterium. RNAcentral describes it as "partial 16S ribosomal RNA". It matches the Rfam family "Bacterial small subunit ribosomal RNA", at positions 524 to 776 of the family's 1533-position model. The record is from RNAcentral.